UACGAGUGCGUCGAGCGUUAUCCGGAAUCAUUGGGCGUAAAGGGUGUGUAGGUGGCGUUGUUAGUCUCCCGUAAAAUUCCUCGGCUCAACCGGGGGCGCGCGGGAGAAACGGCAAUGCUUGAGGUUGGUAGGGGUCUCUGGAACUCUAGGUGUAGCGGUGAAAUGCGUUGAUAUCUAGGGGAACACCAAAAGCGAAGGCAGGAGACUGGACCACACCUGACACUGAAACACGAAAGCGUGGGUAGCGAAUGGG
This 253-nucleotide ribosomal RNA is filed under the name uncultured bacterium. Its description in RNAcentral is "partial 16S ribosomal RNA". It matches the Rfam family "Bacterial small subunit ribosomal RNA", at positions 524 to 776 of the family's 1533-position model. The record is from RNAcentral.